This 1089-nucleotide long non-coding RNA is filed under the name Mustela putorius furo (domestic ferret). Its description in RNAcentral is "lncRNA (ENSMPUG00000030673.1)". Lineage: Eukaryota; Metazoa; Chordata; Mammalia; Carnivora; Mustelidae. The record is from RNAcentral.
AGACAAUGGGUGCUGAUGAACAUCCAUCCUUAGCUCUGUGCCUGUGGCACAGUGAUGUGGGCUUCAGGGCUGAUGUCUGGGUGAUUCUUCUAUAGACCUUGGGACUCUCCUCCAACUUCUCUGGGCUGCAACUCUCUAACAUUCAGUGGUUGCAUGGAGUAGUGUCGAUCUUCACUGAAGUCAGACUCAUUCAAAUGAGCAAAGGUCUUCUGAACACUCCCUAUGCAUGCCUCUGAUGUGUGAAAAGGUUGGAGUGACUAUGCAUGACUCUGAUGUGUGAAAAGGGGGCCCUGAUGUUUGUGUAAUUAUCUUUACUGUUAUUACUCAAAAUCACUAUUCUGUGUACUCCUGCAAAAGGCUUUAAACACCAAAAGAGCUUAUGUUUUCAAUAGUGUGAGCACAGAAAACCAAAACAAAUGAGAGGAAACUUCCUGUUGCCAGUGCCCUGCAGAGAAGGCUUUCAAUGGAGAGAUGUUGGCACCAGGCCCAUGUGUCCCCUCGGGAAGAGGGGCUUCUCAGCUCUAAGAUGCUAAGUCGCCUCAGACAUUCUCUUAGGUCCUCAUCUGAAGGGGACUGUUUUGAAAAUCAGAUCUAUGAACUCGUGGCAAAUCUGCAAACGACACUGUGUCCUGUUCUCUGUCUCUAAGGCCAACCAAGUACAAAGGAUAGAUAUCCACAAAGAACAGGGGGGCUGGGAAGCAGGGAUUCUGACACCUGCUCUGGUGUGGGGUUUUCCGAUGCCACCAAGCAGCUCUGGGACACCAGCUGGGUGUCCUGCAUUUAACUUAGCUCUGAUGCUGUCUACCUGGAGACAGCCCUUACUCAGGGACUGGACAGAGCCAAGGGAAGUCCAAUAUCCACAUCAUUACACAACUGCCAUUACAGCCAAAGUCCUGCAUGAUGAACAGUCUUCAUACUGAGGCCCAUCAAAGGGGCAGAGCCUGAGAACCAUUUGGAGCCCAUGUGUGGAGACCUUUUACGGGUGUAUGGAGAUGUGGAGGCUGCUUCGGGGAGAUUGGAAGGCUGGUGUUUUCCUGACUGCCAGAAUAUUGAACAAUUUUCCCUUUUCAUUAAAGCACUGAACCUCAA